Molecule: long non-coding RNA, 2737 nt
Filed under: Strigops habroptila (Kakapo)
Lineage: Eukaryota; Metazoa; Chordata; Aves; Psittaciformes; Psittacidae
Description: lncRNA (ENSSHBG00005017673.1)
Source: RNAcentral
AUAUUGUACAUCUCCAGCUGCAACUGGGCAGUCCAGUUCAAAUAGCAAACCAUAAAGAAAAUCCAGGAAAAAAUAACUUUUGAGCAGCAGGCAAACUUGAAAAUAUUACGAGCUGUUUGUGGAGGGGAAUAGGAAAAGAAUUAAGACUACCUGAUAAUUUGUGAUGCAAGACUCAUUCAGCUCUUCAGAAUUUCAGAUCCAGGAGGAGCGAUGCCCUAGGGUUUUCUCCAUCCUGGCUUAGCACCAUCUUGGCAGUAGAUAAUGCUUUGCGCCUCCCUGUGCCAGCAGAGCAGGGGGAUAGGGCAAGAAGAGCAGGAGUAGGGUACAGCUCAGUCCCACAAACACAGCUGGAAACAUCACUGCUUGGAGACUCCCAAAAAACCUCCCAGGGUCCAGCAAAGCUGGAGGUCCGUGUUGAGGUACAGGGAGAUGUGAGAAGAAACUAUGCAUCCAUUUAGAAGUGUUCCCUUUGAGUUUUUGGUUUUGUUUGUUUGGGGUUUUUUUAUUUUUUCUCCCAGAAAAUAUUUCAAAAAGAAAGCUUAAUUUUUCUGAAAAUUUCAUUCUAGAGCUUUUUAUUUUUUUUCCUGCUUUCUCUAGUGUUGAUCUGCCGCAGCACUUGGCAGUGCCAGAAAAGCUUGAAGGUUAGAGAGCUCUGCUGCAAAGCCUGUGCUGCCAUUGACACAGGCUCCACCUUUGCUGACAGAGGCUAAGCUUUGGCCCCGCAAUUAUCAAACCAGCGACAGAGUGUGUUUUGCUUUUCCCAUAUCUAACUCCUGAGUAGAACCCCAAGCUGGUACCUCGCUUGUUGGCAGACACAGCAGGCUUCCCUGUAGGAUAGUCCAAGUGACCUGACAAACAGAAGGUUCUUCUUGAGGUGCAGGAGCAGCAAAGCUUGGUGCAGGGGUUUUGCUAGCACUGAGGUGAAAAUGGGCAGUAGGAGCUGCCCAGCAGUGGUGUCAGGAGCCCUGGCUCUGCCACAGGCCCUGGUGCUGCUGGCUGUGAGGACAGUUGCUCCUUUACCUCUUCUGGUAGCAUCUCCAUUCAAACAGUCCUGCCCUGUGUCUUCGCUCCAGAGGGACUGCAUAGCGAAGAAAUCAUGCUAUCCACAUCCCUAUGGCCAUCAUGCCAUGGCACAUCAAAGCUGCUGAACAGACCAGAGAGAAGGUGAGCAGCUUGGAGGUGCCCUUGGUGCCUAAACGUAGCACAACCAUUUCCUUAAUAACUGCUUUUAGGUGGACUAAUAAAAAGUGAGCAAGAUGAAAGCUCAGCUUUUCCUCUCCGAUGCAGCCAAGCCUGUACCACAUGCUUCUUGUUUUGCUCAUCAGCAGCGGGCUGCAGGAAGGAGAUAGGUCCAUCCCCUCCAUGGCACUCUGCCCAGGGUGCACCUGAAGCCACUCAACCCAGGGGAGAGAGACGAGUGGCCCCGGGGCGAUGAGAAGAACCCACGCCACCCCUCGCCCUGGAGUUACAGGGAAGCUGUCAGCCUGAGCAGAGGCAUCCUGUUUGUUGAAAACAAGUGACAGUUGAAGAAGGGUUGCAAGAGCGAGCAAACCGCAGCUCCUGCGCAGGGCUGAUAACAGCCCUGCACUGCCUCUGCAGCAGUUCCGUCCCUGCCAAGCACCGGCGGGGGGAUGGCGUGAGCCUUGCCGGCGCUUUCCUGUUUCGUGCUUCUUUCCCGCCGCUGUUGCUUGCUGUUGAGUUUGCCACGUUUUUUCAGUUAUUAGCUGGUUUCUCAAAAGGGCCCUCCCCUGCUAUAAACGGCAUGCCAGGGGCACCCCGGCACCUGCUCUCUCCCUCCAAGGGGAGACCAGCAGCAUCCAUGGAGCUGAGAAAGGGGAUGGGCCCCAGCAUUCAAGGAGGAGGCUGCAAAUAAGUACUUUUAAAAGUGUGCACCUGUCAUGGGUUGGGUUAUUAUAACUUUGUACCCAUGUCUACGUCCCUGCCAGACAGAGAUCUCAGAGCAUUUUAUGAGGCUUUGUUUAACCCCACAUUUCUGGAGGAGGCCAGAACUGGUAAUGUGAAAGGAAAAGCUUUUUCGGGCUCAGAGACCUGCAGUUAGGCAUGUAGACCUGUAUUUAAAUCUGAGAGUGAUGCAGACUUAGACCCUCUCUCGGCAACUGUGCAUGACAUUAUUGCCAUGACCAUCGCUGGCUCCCUUGGGUCUGAUGGGAACGCUUUUGUGGUGGUGAAGUGUGUGCAUGCAUAUGUGUGUGGUUUCUGUUUGCAGCAUGAGGAGCCUUGACUUUGUGUAUAACUAUGUAAAUGAUGCAACUCACCUCCUCAAAGCUAAGCACAUGUGCAAGGCUUAGAAAGCUCAAGCUCACAGAUGCAUGGGCUACAAAAGUAUUGGACACGUGUAUCUCCCUCUGCGGGAAGCUGGGACGUUCAUUGGGCUUCCCAUGACUCAGGUUUACUUGACUUACUUUAAGGUUCAGCCACAUGAUAACAUAAAUGGCUUUCCAUUCUUCCUCUCUGAUCAGAAUGCUGGGGCUAGCAGAAAAGGGGUUUUCUCUCUUCAACCAAGAAUGCUACUUUUCUUGAGCUUUGCAUAAAAUUCAUCGGUAUUAUCAGAUUGCUCUUUCUCCUGAAAGAUAUCUCAGGAAAUGUUUGUUUAAAGAAGCUUGACCAGCAUUCUUAUCAACCUCCAUUACAUCAUCCUGAUAAUUUUUUCUUCAUUUAGUAAAAGAUGGGCUUCUAGUAAGGAAUUCAAUUGUCAGGAAAAAGAUAAGUUGGAAAA